GAAAUGCGAUAAGUAGUGUGAAUUGCAGAAUUCAGUGAAUCAUCGAAUCUUUGAACGCACAUUGCGCCCCUUGGUAUUCCAUGGGGCAUGCUUGUUCGAGCGUCAUUUGUACUCUCAAGCUUUGCUUGGUGUUGGGUGCUUGUCUUAUUCUCUUCGAUUAGACUCACCUUAAAUUUAUUGGCAGCCCAUGUAUUGGACUUAUGCGCAGCACAUUUUGCGAAUAAGCCUAAUUACACACGCGUCCAUUAUGCAUUUUAACACUUUUGACCUCGGAUCAAGUAGGGAUACCCGCUGAACUUAA
RNAcentral lists this unclassified non-coding RNA (301 nucleotides) under uncultured fungus. Its description in RNAcentral is "sequence contains ITS1". The stretch from base 1 to 105 matches the Rfam family "5.8S ribosomal RNA", at positions 50 to 154 of the family's 154-position model. The record is from RNAcentral. Lineage: Eukaryota; Fungi.